Molecule: long non-coding RNA, 255 nt
Filed under: Lathyrus oleraceus (garden pea)
Lineage: Eukaryota; Viridiplantae; Streptophyta; Magnoliopsida; Fabales; Fabaceae
Description: Pisum sativum (pea) long non-coding RNA (PSAT_LNC025635)
Source: RNAcentral
GAAAUGUUAAAUUAUUUCUACCUAAGGGGAUGACACUCUACAUUUGAAAGAGGACAGACACACCGACACUGCGCGGGGGGAAGGAGACUGCCAUAACAGAGGAUCAGAAAAAUAAUGAAUCACAAAGUGCAAUAAUGUUAUUUAUGAAUGUAUAUGUAUAUGUAUAUGUAUAUAUGAUGAUUAUGCUGACAAAACAAUCACAAAGGAUACAAUCGUCAUUGAUCUGAAUCAUCAAUAUAACACUCAACCAAUCUC